This 21-nucleotide non-coding RNA is filed under the name Caenorhabditis elegans. The record is from RNAcentral. Lineage: Eukaryota; Metazoa; Nematoda; Chromadorea; Rhabditida; Rhabditidae.
UAAAUAAAUAUCAUAGUAACG